This 1594-nucleotide ribosomal RNA is filed under the name Taeniopygia guttata (zebra finch). RNAcentral describes it as "16S ribosomal RNA". The stretch from base 81 to 1512 matches the Rfam family "Bacterial large subunit ribosomal RNA". Lineage: Eukaryota; Metazoa; Chordata; Aves; Passeriformes; Estrildidae. The record is from RNAcentral.
UGCCAAACUCUAGCCCAAUCGACAUGACCUGGAAUAACAAAGCUACUACAUACACCCAACUAAAGCAUUCACUAGUCCUAGUAUAGGCGAUAGAAAAGACACCAUUGGAGCGAUAGAGACCACGUACCGUAAGGGAAAGAUGAAAUAACAAUGAAAACUAAGCUAUAAACAGCAAAGAUCAACCCUUGUACCUUUUGCAUCAUGGUCUAGCAAGAAAAACCAAGCAAAAUGAAUUUAAGUUUGCCAUCCCGAAACCCAAGCGAGCUACCUACGAGCAGCUGUCAGAGCGAACCCGUCUCUGUGGCAAAAGAGUGGGAUGACUUGUCGGUAGAGGUGAAAAGCCAAUCGAGCUGGGUGAUAGCUGGUUGCCUGUGAAACGAAUCUAAGUUCACUCUUAAUUCUUCUCCAAGGAAACUCAAGAACCCUAAUGAAGCGAAUUAAGGGCUAUUUAAAGGAGGUACAGCUCCUUUAAAAAAGAAUACAAUCUCUACGAGCGGAUAAAUAAUAACAUACGAACUUACUGUGGGCCCUUAAGCAGCCAUCAACAAAGAGUGCGUUAAAGCUCCGUACCCAAAAAAUAUAAGAAUUUUAUGACUCCCUCCCCACUAACAGGCUAACCUAUAUACAAAUAGGAGAAUUAAUGCUAGAAUGAGUAACCAGGGUCCUCCCUCUACGACGCAAGCUUACAUCUAUACAUUAUUAACAAACCACCAAUAUACGAUAAAUCAAACAAGCAGAGUAUUAGGUAUCUUGUUAACCCGACAGAGGAGCGUCCAUUAAGAAAGAUUAAAACCUGUAAAAGGAACUAGGCAAACCCGUCAAGGCCCGACUGUUUACCAAAAACAUAGCCUUCAGCAAACCAACAGACAAGUAUUGAAGGUGAUGCCUGCCCGGUGACUCACGUUUAACGGCCGCGGUAUCCUAACCGUGCAAAGGUAGCGCAAUCAAUUGUCCCAUAAAUCGAGACUUGUAUGAAUGGCUAAACGAGGUCUUAACUGUCUCUUACAGGCAAUCGGUGAAAUUGAUCUCCCUGUACAAAAGCAGGGAUAAACCCAUAAGACGAGAAGACCCUGUGGAACUUCAAAACCAACGACCACCUUAUAUCACAUAUACACCCACUGGGCUCACUGACACAUAAGAGAUUGGUACGUGUUUUUCGGUUGGGGCGACCUUGGAGUAAAACAAAGCCUCCAAAAAUUAGACCAUAAAUCUAGACUAAGAGCAACCCCUCAACGUGCUAACAGCACCCAGACCCAAUAUAAUUGAUCAAUGGACCAAGCUACCCCAGGGAUAACAGCGCAAUCUCCUCCGAGAGUCCGUAUCGACGGGGAGGUUUACGACCUCGAUGUUGGAUCAGGACAUCCUAGUGGUGCAGCCGCUACUAAGGGUUCGUUUGUUCAACGAUUAACAGUCCUACGUGAUCUGAGUUCAGACCGGAGUAAUCCAGGUCGGUUUCCAUCUAUGAUGAACUCUUCCCAGUACGAAAGGAUAGGAAAAGUGAGGCCAAUACUACAAGCAAGCCUUCGCCUUAAGUAAUGAAGUCAACUAAAUUACGAAAAGCUAUCACACCCCCCCACAUCCAAGAAAAGGACCA